Long non-coding RNA from Fukomys damarensis (Damara mole-rat), 1749 nucleotides. Lineage: Eukaryota; Metazoa; Chordata; Mammalia; Rodentia; Bathyergidae. The record is from Ensembl.
CUGAAACAUUGGGACAGGCAGAGGCUGCAGGAGCAAAAGCAAACAGCAGAGGGAGCUUCUACCUUUACACUUUAGCCGCAUAGGAAGGCAUCCCCCAUCCCCCUCUUACUAAAACUAACCAUCAGCAGUAACAAAAACUGCUAUUUUGCUAGAUGCGAUUGAAACAAUGUGAGAAUAAAUAAACACAACCAAAGAAUUCCCAAGCUAAACAAAAGUUAGACAACCUAACAAGCCCAAAGUAGAUUGUUCCAAAGGAUAACUCCAUUCAGGUUAAUGAUCCUGCCCAGUGCGGAAGAGGAAGGCAUUCUGGGAAGGUGCUUCAGAGGUUCUGAGGCAGAAGGACUGGCCUGAAGACACUCUCCCAAGCACUCGUCUACCCUCACAUACUCAGUUAUCCACUACUAACAGAUGUCCACUCAACCUCUAAAUAUUUAGAAGAUGUGAAAGUACCACAUGGGACCCACUAUAAGUCCUGCUAUAUAGGACAGACGACUUCAAGUGAUGCAACUGGGAAUCAAUCCACAGUGGACCACCGAGGCAACAGCUAACUCUCCUUACCAACAUAUCCUGUCACCUAUCCUUCACACAGAGGAUGACGCCGAGUUUGAUGAAGUCCAGGAUCAGAUGGAAAAGAUGCGCAGCAGCCUUUGCCGGGUGAACAUCGACCAUCUCCAUGGAGGCUGGUACCAGUCCACGUCCUAUGUAUGGCUCAUUCGUUACCCGGGCGCUGCUGGACUCAGUUCAGCUACCAGUCCGCCACUGAAUAAUCUGUCGUUCGCAUUUACGAUCCCAUAAAAACUGCACAAGGGUCUCCCUCGCAUCCCUUUCCCAGCACACAGAGGAUGACGCCGAGUUUGAUGAAGUCCAGGAUCAGAUGGAAAAGAUGCGCAGCAGCCUUUGCCGGGUGAACAUCGACCAUCUCCAUGGAGGCUGGUACCAGUCCACGUCCUAUGUAUGGCUCAUUCGUUACCCGGGCGCUGCUGGACUCAGUUCAGCUACCAGUCCGCCACUGAAUAAUCUGUCGUUCGCAUUUACGAUCCCAUAAAAACUGCACAAGGGUCUCCCUCGCUAAAGGCGUACAGACUGACUUCUAAACUGAUGGAAGUCUGUAAAGAGAAGGACUUUUUCCCCCUGAAGCACUGAAAAAGGCAAAUAUCACCUUUGAGCACAAGUUUGAAGAAGUGCCAGUAGUAAUUAAAAACUCACAUCUGAUCAAUGUCCUGAUGUGGGAGCUGGAGAAGAAGUCAGCUGUGGCGGAGAAGCACGAAUUGCUCAGCCGCUAGCAGCAAUCAUCUGGGGAAGAAUCUGCAGUUGCUGAUGGACAGAGUGGAUGAAAUGAGCCAAGACAUAGCCAAGUACAACACAUACAUGUGGAAUACUAGCAAACAGCAGCAGCAGAAACAUCAGUACCAGCAGCGUUGCUGGCAGGACAAUAUGCAGCCUCAGAGUUGAAGAGAACCCCCUCUCCCAGAAGAGGACCGGUCCAAACUCUGCAAGCGACACCAGGCUCUUGAGAGGAUGGAUUCGUUGCUCAUUGCAGACCAGAUUAACACUUACUGCCAGAACAUCAAAGAGUUCACCACCCAGAACGUGGGCAAGCUCUUCCUGGCUCAGACUCUUCAAGAGUACAACAGCUAAGACAGGACAUUUCUCCCAGAAGAAAUACAUUUGUGUAUUGAAAACAUGGGAUCUUUAAUGUCAUUGCUAUUUUUGGCUGUAACAUCUUUCUAGCCAAUAAUAAAAAAAUUU